ACGUAGGGGGCAAACGUUGUCCGGAUUUACUGGGUGUAAAGGGUGCUCAGGCGGUUUUGUAAGUCAGAAGUGAAAUCCUAGAGCUUAACUCUGGAACUGCUUUUGAUACUGCAAGGCUUGAAUGUGGAAGAGGAGGAUGGAAUUUCUGGUGUAGCAGUGAAAUGCGUAGAUAUCAGAAAGAACACCAGUGGCGAAGGCGGUCCUCUGGUCCACUAUUGACGCUAAAGCACGAAAGCGUGGGGAGCAAACAGGAUUAGAUACCCUGGUAGUCCACGCCUUAAACGAUGAAUACUAGACGUUGGGGUUAAACUCAGUGUCGCAGCUAACGCAUUAAGUAUUCCACCUGGGGAGUACGAUCGCAAGGUUG
Molecule: ribosomal RNA, 367 nt
Filed under: uncultured bacterium
Lineage: Bacteria
Description: bacterial SSU rRNA
Rfam family: Bacterial small subunit ribosomal RNA
Source: RNAcentral